This 683-nucleotide transfer RNA is filed under the name uncultured cyanobacterium. RNAcentral describes it as "partial contains 16S ribosomal RNA, 16S-23S ribosomal RNA intergenic spacer, and 23S ribosomal RNA". The stretch from base 251 to 323 matches the Rfam family "tRNA". Lineage: Bacteria; Bacillati; Cyanobacteriota. The record is from RNAcentral.
CAGGGAGACAAAAACUGAUCGUGAAUUCUAAGUAUUUCUUCUUAGAUCAUGAUCCUGUCACCUUAGGUCGAUCGGUACCUCAGAUUUCCAAGAAAAAGGUAUUAACUUUCCUUGGAUAAUUUCAGUUCCUAAACUUGUCUAGGUCACACCCAGCAAGGGUACUCCUGGGCCAUUAGCUCAGGUGGUUAGAGCGCACCCCUGAUAAGGGUGAGGUCCCUGGUUCAAGUCCAGGAUGGCCCAUUCGGUGUUUGGGGGUUUAGCUCAGUUGGUAGAGCGCCUGCUUUGCAAGCAGGAUGUCAGCGGUUCGAGUCCGCUAACCUCCACUGACCGACCUCCUGUAGCGCCAGUCAUGUGAGGGCUCUUAAGGGAAAUGAUCCAGUUUAUUCCGCUAGCGGAACCUAGCUUCCUAUCAUUCCAGCCAAAAUAAAUUGGUUAGGUUGAAAGGACGCUGGGCUCACUGUGAAUUAAUGACUUCACAGGAACGUUCGGCAGAACCUUGACAACUGCAUAGAUUUAAGUCUGGAAAAAAUAAAGCAUCUCAUGGAGAUAUUUUUUCUUGGAUAAUCAAUUAACAUUUUCAUUUUUAAAUGCUAAUGAAAAUUGAAUCCAUUAGAAAAGUAUUGAUUCUUGAGUUAGAGCCAAGACUCUAAUAAUUACUUUAAAUAUAGUUAUUAGAGAAAAAU